RNAcentral lists this ribosomal RNA (253 nucleotides) under uncultured bacterium. RNAcentral describes it as "partial 16S ribosomal RNA". It matches the Rfam family "Bacterial small subunit ribosomal RNA", at positions 524 to 776 of the family's 1533-position model. The record is from RNAcentral.
UACGUAGGGUGCGAGCGUUGUCCGGAAUUAUUGGGCGUAAAGAGCUCGUAGGCGGUUUGUCACGUCUGCUGUGAAAUCCCGAGGCUCAACCUCGGGCCUGCAGUGGGUACGGGCAGACUGGAGUGCGGUAGGGGAGAAUGGAAUUCCUGGUGUAGCGGUGGAAUGCGCAGAUAUCAGGAGGAACACCGAUGGCGAAGGCAGUUCUCUGGGACGGUACUGACGCUGAGACGCGAAAGCGUGGGGAGCGAACAGG